CUAAGUGACACGAGAGUGCGCGGUAACGAGACGGGAACGUUUACUUAGAAGAAGGCUGACAGCAGGAGAGAAGAUGCUUUAGCUGCUGUUGUAUUUUGCCCACAGUAUAAAUCAGAGCCGCCUUUCUAAAAUCAGCUUCUGAGAACCACUCUCAAGUCGGCAGAAACCAUCAUAAAAAGACCCUUAAGGGGGGAGAAAUAACAUGUGCCAAGAGUUGACUGUUUGCCAGAAAGAAGGACGAGAACCUCUGCUCUUUUUCUCCAGAAAAUAGCAGUGAAAUGAAGGGGCGGCCAAGAGUGGCGGCCCCUGCAGCUCGGGCUGGAGUCUGGCUUAUCCGGAGGGAUGUGUGAAGACCUUUCUGGAAAGCCCGCUCGCGAAUGUGGUCGGUGUCUGUCUAGUGCCUGGAGUUUUACAGACGCCACGUUGCCGGUUCUGCCAGCAUCGCUGCAGAGACAAAAGAGACGGCGGCGCCCUGCAGAAAGGAGCAUCUCCGUCACCCCAUUCUGAGAGACCAGCCGCCCUUAGAACAUCCAGGACAGACAGAAGCCUUGUUACAGAACCGUGACAGAAUCUGUUGGUGAUUCUGUGAGGUCCUGAGGUACAGUUUAAAGGAGUUUUCAAGCCAAGGGCUAUUUCAAGAUGAAGCAACAUAUCUGAAAGUAAAGAGGGAAACUGUUAAUAUUCUAAUUCAUGGAUGCAAGAGGGCAUCACGAAGAAAUAGAAAAUCAGAACCGAUGAAUAGUGAGAAAGGAGAUUGGGUCAAUGAUCAAAACAUCCCAAGAAAGAGAAGCUGCUGUCCAGACGGCUUGACUGGUGAAUUCCAACAAUCAUUUAAAGAAGGAUUAAUGCAGACACAACUUAGAAUAGAUUUACAAGGAGAUCCUGCUGAAUAGCAUUGAGAACUAUGUCUAGAUACUCAUGUUGCAACAGAAGAAAGGGUGGGGGAAAACUGUAAUUGUAAUGUAUACAUGUAAGGAUAACCUGACCCCCUUGCUGUACAGUGGGAAAAAAAAUAAAAUAAAGAAGGAUUAAUGCCA
This 1037-nucleotide long non-coding RNA is filed under the name Sus scrofa (pig). RNAcentral describes it as "lncRNA (ENSSSCG00015018316.1)". The record is from RNAcentral. Lineage: Eukaryota; Metazoa; Chordata; Mammalia; Artiodactyla; Suidae.